Molecule: long non-coding RNA, 687 nt
Organism: Manis javanica (Malayan pangolin)
Lineage: Eukaryota; Metazoa; Chordata; Mammalia; Pholidota; Manidae
Source: RefSeq, a predicted model, not a curated record
CAGGAAAAGCCUGCUGGGCAUGGGGGUGGGAAGGCAGGACCGGAGGACAGAGGCCCGGUGUCAUUAGGGGUGACUGCCUCGGCGCCUCAGAAACGGGUAUCUGCACGGCCCCCAGGCUGGUUUUCUUCAGGUCCCUGGGAUGUUUCCAGGUUGGCUGGCCCUAUUUAGAAAGAGCAAUUUAACAUGAUGAGAUCCUAUGUGGCAUUUCUGCAUGAGGGCAGAGGCCAAGCGCAGAUGACACAGCCCUUGUGCCCAGACGGCCUAUGGCCUGCUCCUCUCCCUCCUGGCACCCAGACUGAGGACAGCUGUGGGGACACUCCCAGGCCUUUGGGGUUGUUGGGGCCCAGGUGGUGUGCAUGCUGCUGCUGAAGGGACGUCCUUCCCAGAUGCCAAGGGAGACAAGCUACCCUGGGGAUCUGCACUACCAAAUUCAGGAGACUAAAGAGAGCUGUGGCCGACAGCAUGGGCAGCCACAGUGAGCAAAUGUUCUCCUCCCCCUGUGCUAAAGCAGAGGCAAAGAAGGGCGGCGAGGUGCCGUGACGCUACAGCUACGUGGCCGAGGAAUGCAGACCACCGCUUGGAGCCCGAGGACAUCCUUCUGCCCCCCCAAACAGCAUCCCACUUAGGGCAAGGGCAGCUCAUGCUUUGAAUACAAUUUUUGAAUCAUUCCAUUAUUCCCAUUUACUC